GCAAGAAGAGGGUGCUGACAUAAUGGUGGAGUACAGAAAACCAAUUUAUUCACAAAUGCAGGAAUACAAAACUGUAUAAAAACAAGUAAAAUUAAAACAAAAUAUAAAAAUAGACACGGGCUGGGAGGGAAUCAUGUACUAUAUGCAGAUAAUUAGCAUACGUCCCACCUCCUCCUUCCUUCGUAGACAUUGUGCACUCAAAAUAAUUGAGAUGCUUUUUGCACCAAGUGCUUCCUCCAGUCAUUGUUUGCAUUCUGCUAAUAACAAUCGUCUAUAUAGCCCUGAGUCCCUUGCUCUUCAAUUAAGAGUGAAUAAUAAUUGUUUCAUGGGGGCAUACCUACU
Molecule: non-coding RNA, 342 nt
Organism: Pelobates cultripes (western spadefoot toad)
Lineage: Eukaryota; Metazoa; Chordata; Amphibia; Anura; Pelobatidae
Source: the annotation of a GenBank genome assembly